CCUUGGUGACCUCAGUGUAAAGAGUUUCUUGGUUGCUGGAGGGACUUGAACAACGAAAAUGAAAAAGUGGUCAGUCCUAAAACGGGAAAAUGGUAAAUACCAUCUGAACAGAGAAAACAACACAAAAUCAAGAAAGUGCCCAAAACAGUAACAAGGCUUUCCAGUGAAAAGAUGAACAGACCAUCUCCAAGCCCCAGAGAAGCCAUGAGACUGGACUGUGGCAGGUCACAAUUCAGUUCUUCCAGAUCUUAAAGUGUCGGCAGUGGCCAUGGUCUCCCAAGACCACAAAAUGAUCUCAGGAGAGCACCGUGUGCAAGCAUAUUCCUACAGCUACGACAAGAAAUGUGUGAUCAUGGGACCUCCAAGGAAAGGCCGACUCUCUCACCUGAAGUCAGAAGCAAGGACUGGACACUUGGUGCGAUGGCUGAACCCAGGAAAAGUCCAUGGGCUCCACAAUGUUUCAGGGCUAGGAAGUGAAUCGCACACCUGAGAAAUGCGACAAUCUAGCUGGCACAUGGGUUGCACUCGGGGAUUCCAACUUUCAGAUAACCUCGACUUCUGACAGCUUCUGUAGAGAUGCAAGGGUAGACCAGGAAACUACUCCAUUCCCUGCAUUCAAGGAGAUCUGCAUCUGUCUCCCCCAUACACUCCCCACUCGUGCAUUUUGUGCCAUUUAAUAAGAAUCACACUAUUUUUCUAACUAAUUUUGCCAAAGGGGGGGAAAAAAAGAAUCCAUCUUUAACUCCUUAUAUUGAUCUUCCCUUCUACCCACACAGAAAAAUCCGGAUCCAUGGACUCCAAAUUGCUUGCCACGCCCCAAAGAUGUAUCAAGUACACAGAAAGGUUCCAUUAAUUGAUCCACUCAUGACCCUCUAGCUAAAUGACUCAUGUAGUUGUCCUUUUCCUAGAGGUUUUAAGAAAGAACUGCAGUAAUAAACUGACGCCUAGAUUCUACCAUUCGGAGGUGUAAACCCAAAGCAGAGACUGUCAGAAAAAAAAGAAGGGGUUUGGAAGAAAUGGUCUCUGCAUCAGGGCUCCCCACAACAGCUCUAAGGAGAAGAACGGGUUUCUGAUUCACAUGGAAAAUAUAAAUCUGCAGAGCUUCUUGCAUUAGCAGGAAUGGGAAAUUGCUUCACUUCAUCAAUUUUGAAACUUAAACUUAAUUGCUUCUUUCCCUUAAUGCUCUCUUCCCACCCCCAGUCUCUUUAAACUUCAGAAGUCUAAGAGAAUCCUUGGUUACAGAGCCCUCGGCCGGCUCAGGACUUUUCAAAUUCCAAAACAAGUCCUAGCAGGCUGGAACUUUCU
Molecule: long non-coding RNA, 1305 nt
Organism: Mustela lutreola (European mink)
Lineage: Eukaryota; Metazoa; Chordata; Mammalia; Carnivora; Mustelidae
Exons: 3
Source: RefSeq, a predicted model, not a curated record